GGCCUGCGGAGGGAUCAUUGCUGGAACGCGCCCCAGGCGCACCCAGAAACCCUUUGUGAACUUAUACCUUACUGUUGCCUCGGCGCUAGCUGGUCCUUCGGGGCCCCUCACCCUCGGGUGUUGAGACAGCCCGCCGGCGGCCAACCUAACUCUUGUUUUUACACUGAAACUCUGAGAAUAAAACAUAAAUGAAUCAAAACUUUCAACAACGGAUCUCUUGGUUCUGGCAUCGAUGAAGAACGCAGCGAAAUGCGAUAAGUAAUGUGAAUUGCAGAAUUCAGUGAAUCAUCGAAUCUUUGAACGCACAUUGCGCCCUCUGGUAUUCCGGAGGGCAUGCCUGUUCGAGCGUCAUUUCAACCCUCAAGCCUGGCUUGGUGAUGGGGCACUGCCUGUAAAAGGGCAGGCCCUGAAAUUCAGUGGCGAGCUCGCCAGGACCCCGAGCGCAGUAGUUAAACCCUCGCUCUGGAAGGCCCUGGCGGUGCCCUGCCGUUAAACCCCCAACUUCUGAAAAUUUGACCUCGGAUCAGGUAGGAAUACCCGCUGAACUUAAGCAUAUCAAA
Molecule: ribosomal RNA, 560 nt
Filed under: Diaporthe sp.
Lineage: Eukaryota; Fungi; Ascomycota; Sordariomycetes; Diaporthales; Diaporthaceae
Description: eukaryotic LSU rRNA
Rfam family: 5.8S ribosomal RNA (bases 198-351)
Source: RNAcentral